Molecule: ribosomal RNA, 494 nt
Filed under: uncultured bacterium
Lineage: Bacteria
Description: partial 16S ribosomal RNA
Rfam family: Bacterial small subunit ribosomal RNA
Source: RNAcentral
GACGAACGCUGGCGGCGUGCUUAACACAUGCAAGUCGAACGGUGAAGCGCCUUCCUUUUUGGUGGGUGUGGAUGAGUGGCGAACGGGUGAGUAACACGUGAGUAACCUGCCCCCUUCUUCUGGAUAACCGCAUGAAAGUGUGGCUAAUACGGGAUAUUCUGGGUCUGUCGCAUGAUGGGUCUGGGAAAGAUAUUGUUUCGGUGGGGGAUGGGCUCGCGGCCUAUCAGCUUGUUGGUGGGGUGAUGGCCUACCAAGGCGGUGACGGGUAGCAGGCCUUAGAGGGUGGACGGUCACACUGGGACUGAGACACGGCCCAGACUCAUACGGGAGGCAGCAGUGGGGAAUAUUGCAAAAUGGGCGCAAGCCUGAUGCGGCGACGCCGCGUGAGGGAUGGAGGCCUUCGGGUUGUGAACCUCUUUCGCCAGUGAAGCAGGCCUGCCUCGUUUGUGGGUGGGUUGACGGUAGCUGGAUAAGAAGCGCCGGCUAACUACGUG